CUGUGAUGGCCUCCUUAGUGGGCCUUUUAGCGUACCGGAGCCUUUGGCCUGGUAGCAGAAAGAGAUGUUGUCUUCAUUCGGUAUCUUUCGGGUCUUUGUUAUGGCGGGGCUCAGUGAGAUCCAGUGGGACGUCCGCGGUGUACGAUGUGGUGGUGUCAGGUGGUGGCAUGGUCGGAACCGCCAUGGCUGCUGCACUGGGACAUGACGUUCAUCUCUGUGAUAAGAAAAUUCUGCUACUUGAAGCUGGCCCAAAGAAAGUGUUUAACCAAUUGCCCAAGAUUUACAGUAAUAGGGUCAGUGCUAUUACACCUGGUUCUGCCACAUUUCUUAGUAGCUUUGGUGCUUGGGAACAUAUUUGCAAUAUGAGAAUCAGACCCUUUCGACGAAUGCAGGUGUGGGAUGCUUGUUCUGAGGCCAUGAUAAUUUUUGAUAAAGAAAACUUGGAAGACAUGGGUUAUAUAGUAGAGAAUGAUGUUAUCCUGUCUGCUCUCACAAAACAGCUGGAUGAAGUUUCAGACCGAGUGGAAGUUCUCUACAGGAGCAGAGCAGUUGGGUACAAGUGGCCCCUUCAUUAUCAAUCCUCUGAUACAAGCACUUGGGUCCAAAUUGAUUUAGCAGAUGGACACAGACUUCAGACCAAACUGCUGAUUGGUGCAGAUGGGCAGAAUUCUAUGAUCCGGAAGGCAGCUGGUAUUCAGAAAAUUCAGUACCAAUAUGACCAGUCAGCUGUAGUUGCUACUCUUCACUUGUCUGAGGCAACAGAGAACAAUGUAGCAUGGCAGAGAUUCCUUCCUUCUGGACCUAUUGCACUCCUCCCGCUGUCUGAUACUGUCAGCUCUUUGGUUUGGUCCACAUCGCAUGAACAUGCAUCCCAGCUUCAAAGCAUGGAUGAGGAAAGUUUUGUGGACUCUGUCAAUUCUGCUUUUUGGAGCAACGCAAAUCACUCAGACUUUAUCGAUACUGCGGGAUCCAUGUUCCGAUCUGCUGUUUCUCUCCUCAUGCCAUCAGGGACAGCAACCCGCCAGCUGCCCCCAAGUGUGGCAAAAGUGGAUCCAAGAAGCCGAGCUGUGUUUCCUCUUGGACUUGGGCAUGCAACAGAAUAUGUCCAACACCGUGUCGCACUCAUUGGGGAUGCUGCUCAUAGAGUACAUCCUCUAGCAGGUCAAGGUGUAAAUAUGGGCUUUGGUGAUAUUGCAUGCUUGACACAUCAUCUCAGUGCUGCAGCAUUCAGUGGAAAGGAUCUGGGCUCUUUAAAGCAUCUGCUGCAGUAUGAAAGAGAACGACAGAGUCACAACCUUUCUCUCCUGGCUGCAACUGACUUGUUGAAGAGACUGUACUCUACAAGUCUAGCUCCUUUAGUGCUGCUAAGAACAUGGGGAGUGCAAGCAACUAAUGCUUUAUCUCCAGUUAAAGAGCAGAUCAUGGCAUUUGCCAGUAAAUGACUUCUUCACAAAUCAAGAGUUGCUGUUCACUGCUGGUUGAUGUAGAUUCACACAGUAGAAAGACUGUAUUACAUUUGCCAAGCAUGCUUCUAUAUCCUUUGUGAGCAUUUGUACCCUGGAAAGAAAGAAAGAAAUCACCCUGAAAGGUCAUACACCUCAAGUCAUUUUUCAAACAUUUGCUGCUCACCUAUCAAGUCAGUAUCCACAGCCCGAUCAUAGUAAUAGGAAAAGGCAUAGAAGGAACUUUUCCGAAUCUCAUCUGGUUGAUGCAGUUUUCCUUGAACAACCUUCAACACUUCAGAAUAACAAUGUUCAAAUCCUGUUUUCCCUGCAAAUGCAAGCAUGAUAUGAGUCCCACUUUAGACAGAGCAGAAUACAUAACAAUGAAAUUUAGGAGAGGAGACACAUGAGGGAGAAAGCACAAAAAUAGAAUGUUACAUGGCCUUCCUCAGGAUAGCCAUCUUUUUCCUCAGCACUGCUGCAGCCUGGGCACAGCCCCAUCUCUAUCUUUGCUGUUCCUGUAUGAGUAUAUAUUCAGAAGAGGGUUUUUUUAAGACCCUAUGUGGGGAAAGACAGUCUUAGGAAGGGACUUUGCCAUAAAAGGACAGUAAGUAUACUCCAAAAUAAAAUUCCAGAGAUGGUAGGAAAGUAUGCAAGUUAGCCUGAGUGUGACCCCAAACACUGGCCUUUUCGUGGAGCCAGAACAGAAUGGAAAUAGUUUUUCCAGCCUAUGAUUUCUUGUCCAGUCUUCUCUAAAUAUGAAAUGGAAACUUCUAGGGCACUGCAAACUCCUAGCAGCAGCUUUGCUGUGAACAGCUCCUGCACAAUAACUGGUAUCUUAUCUGGAUAGACACAACCUGUUGUUCACAUUGCAUUUUGACUUGCUGUCUUCACACAUUUUGUCUCGCUUCACCUCAUCUCCAUCCAGGUAUACACGUGAGUUUUACCUUUAAAUACUGGGGUUUUAUUAAAUAAUGAAUUUAAGUAACAUCUAUUUUAAGAAACUAUGAAAUCAAGUCAGGUUGCAACAGUUUUUUUGUCAUGUGAGCCCUCCAUAUCAAAAAGCUUGAAAAGUGUUUGAAAAGGAAGAAGUAAAGAAAAGAAAACAAAGCAAAGCAUAAUGAGGAAGGAUAGUCUUAUGCCAACACAUGGCUUUGCUGGGACUUAGACCAAGUAUUCCUCAGUUAAAUUGCAGAGUGAAAGAACAUCAUUUUAUUCCUUCCUAACUAUCUCCAGUACUGAUCUAAUCUUUUUCUAGUGUUAUGAUCAUCAAAGGGCAUGCUGUGGGCCUUGGGACAUACUUUCAGGAACCACAGGACUGCUCUAAGGGUCAAGUGAAAUGCAUUAAAUGUCUAUAUUAUUUUAGUAGGACAAAAUACUCCAGUGAGGGAUUUAUUUUCUGACAGCUACUACUUCAGGCCAGGUCUACACCUUUUCAAGCAAGGUCCCAGCUAAGAAAGCAGUCUUCUAAAAUACAAGAAAAGAUAAAGAGAAGACUGCCUUUAAAAAACAAAGCAAAACACCUCUUCAUUUAAUCAAUCUUUGGAAACAAUGUAUUUCUAACUUGCCUUCUUUGUUGCCACCAUAUUGGUAUUUGACUCCCCCAAAGUGCCAUUCUGCUUCCAGCUUUCUUGGCAAACAGGAGCUUCGGAAGGUCUGUCCAUCUACUGUUGAAGAGAAUAUAGAUUUGGAAAAUAGUCAAGAAGUUUUCUAGCCACCAUGUAAUUGCAGGAAAAGGAAGCUGGAAAAGUUCAAGUUCUCCAUUCCAUUUUCAGGGGAAAAUUAAGAUAGUGCUUGUUUCUCCAAAUGGGACAUUUAAUCCAUUGGAGUCAAUAGAAAUUAGUUAGUAUUGAUAAAUAGCAUGAUAGCGGUGUAUAAAUAUUACAGUGAAGAGAGCCUGGAUACUCCUAAUAUAGGAGGAGAAUAGGAAAAAUGGAUACUGAUUGCAGAAUACUGCUAUUUUUAGUCACAAGCCAGAAAUUGAUGAGAAUGGGACAGUCAUUAGUAACACAAAGGUUGGAAGACAAGGAAUCUAGGUGUGUUGGAUAAGCAGGAGAAAUGCAUUUCAUACUAUGGUACAAGAAUGGUGGUGGAAUGGGGAAAUAUUUAUGUGUAUGUGACUUCAGGAACCCUGAAGUUCUUGUGGAGUAUGACUUGAUAAUGACUUUGAGAAUGCCUAGUCUAAUUUAAAAAAAGAUGGGAUACAUUGAAGAAAUGAGGAAAAGGCAUCUGCUGAAGAAGCUGAAUCUUUUCUUAUUCCAAAAGAAAUGCAAUUAGCCCAACUGCAUGGUUGUCCUCUCUCUUAAGUCUUCCAAAAUGUAAAUAAAGUAACUACAACUCAAACUCCCCUUUAUCCAAGUGCUUGGUUUUAAUAAGAAAUUACAUGUACCACAGAGCAGCUUAAAAUUGCUUUCCAGAGUGCAGCUGCUUGUAGAGUUUAUCUUUAAGGUUAGCAUUUCACAGUCUAGAUUCUGUUUCAUUAUGCAUACUGGCUCAAAUACAGUUUAGUAUUACCUACCUCAGUAAAACCCUUUUUAGGGGGAUAAAUGCACACUGAGAUGGGUAUAAAGGAAAAUCCAGCUAAAUGCAGAGAGCCAGAUAGAUGGGGAAUGGAUGCACUCAUUCAGUUUGUUUGAUCCCUACAAGUCACAUGCUACCUGCAUUAAUUCCUUAAUAAUCGGUGUUCCAGUCAGAACAGGUCCUAGUAGCUUAAAUAAGGUGGCUGCUUGAGGAUAACAAGGAUGCUCCAGGGUGACAGUGGCAGUCCUCAUGGUUCAUCCUGCUGAGCCCCCUCUAGCCAUUCCCAUCUUCCUAAGCUAGCACCUCUGAGGCAUCCAAUGUUUCUAUACUGGAAUCCUCUUGCUACUAGAGAGUGCACCUAAACUUAGGUGUUGGUGAUAUACACAUGUAUUUAAAAGUAAUUGAUUUAAAGCAGGUAUAUAAAUAGUCUAAAAAUCUUUCAUUUGCUGAGAGCACUAGCUAAAACUGAUUGCCAGAAAGAUCCCCAACUGGUGGAGUAAAGUGUUACCCUGAAAAGUGUCAUCCAAAAAAGUCUGGUUUUUUUCAAAUAGAGAAUACUGGCUGCUGUUCCUAAUAGCAGCAACCCAAUAGAAUCAUAGGUUUGAAAUAUUGAACAUGAACUCACUGCCCCAGAUUACAUAGUUGCAAUCUGGAAAAAUCAUUUUAUUUUCAAACAGCAUUCUAUGCCCCCAGCCAGCCUCAAACUCUCCCACAAUCUCCUCCUGGAAUAUAUUGCACUCCCUUGCAGUUACUUUGUGCCUUAUUUUUCCUCCGUAUAGUAGUAGUGUAUUGGAAACUGGCACUAUUCCUAGUCAAGCUACUACCAGUAAUCACAGAGAGACAUAAGAUAGCAGCCAGAAAAUCUAGUGGUAGCUAUGCCAUUCCCUUAUUAACACACACUCUAUAUGUAAUUUUUCUAUAUCACUGUACCUUCCAUUUCUAAUGCUCCCAAUGUUGCCAGUCGUGCAGCUUUCAGCCCAAAUCCCAAAUAACUGUAAAAAAAGACAAAGGGUGCUUAAUUAAAAUUCAUGUGCACCCUAUUCCACAUGUGAGACUAGGUAGCAACCCAUUUUAUAAACAUGGACAUAAAUGAGAUUUUGUUCAAAGAGCCUCCUGUUUGCUGAGUUCCAGAUGUGACAUGUUAACUUGUGGCUCUUACACAUUAAUUCACAAUCUACCAAGUAUUGUAAGAAUGAAGAAAUGUCUAUAGUUUUCUGCCACAGGCCUUUAAAAGUUAUUCUGAUAACCAGCAAAAUACACCGGCUUAAGAACUGACCAGAACAAAUUGUCAGGGUAGAUAUUACUUCUGGCUGAAGGUCAGUAAUACCUUAAGUUUUGAAGAAACAACUAUUUGUAAAACACCUUUUCACUUACCUGUGCGUGUAGAGUUUAAAAGUGCUGUUGAACAUUUGAAAUGAGGUAAGAAAAUCAACUGGUGUUUGCUCCAGGGUUUCCUAAAGAUUAGAAUAAUAAAAAGGAUUAUUCAAUGAUAGCUAUUUCAAAGGAAAACAGGGUAGCAACUUCCUACUUUUUUUCAGAUAUUUUGCACUGUCUACAGAGCUCUUGACCCACCUUCCCAACUCUUUCCUAUUCAGUCCUCCCACAAGUAUCCAGGAGAACAUCAUGAGAGCACCAAGUACCCCCCCCCCCCACCACCAUUGCAUUUCAAUGGGAUGGUGUGGAGGAGAAGGAGAACCUCUUUCCAAUGGAGCAAAAAUAGCAGGUGGGAAUGGUGUGGGUGCAGCUAGCCACUGCUGAUCCUGGCAAAGAGGAGUUGCUGGGCAACCCCCUGCUGCUGGCAUCCAAGCCAUGCUCUGCUUAGGCUUCUCUAGAAAAGUCCCAGCAGAGCAUGCACCCCUACCUCCUGCUGCAGUAGCCCUACAAUUGUGGAGCAGGUGGGGGAACACAAGUUUCAUUUUGCUCAGUCUCUUCCAGGGAGGCCAAGUAGAAAGAACAUGGUUUGUCCUACACCACCAUGGCCACCAGGCAUUUCAGUUGACAGCUAUGGUAGCAUGUGGAGCUUUUGAUGGCUGUCCUGAAGUGAUGCUUCAGCACUUUAGGAUAGCUGUCAUCGACACUUUCAGUGCAGUAAGCCUUUUUGGCACUCUUGCAUGGUAGCUCUGUAGUGAUCUGACUUGUCCCCUGGUGGAUCAUGCUGUCUGGAUUCACGCUAUACAGCAAGCUACCACAGAAAAAAACAAAUCUUAGAAUAAGCCAUGGCUUGCCAGGUGGCUAAUUAGCCAAACUUGAGCCAUCCUGACAAAACUAUCCUGAGUUCAGACAACACACUAAGCCAUCAUUGCUUCAAAGCCAUGGUGACUUAGCAUGUUGUAUGAACCCAGUCAGUUUGCUGUUAUUAAAAGACACAACUCAGGUAACCAUGGGCUGCAAUAAAUGCAAGUGCUAUUUAUAAAGUUACCUUUACAUGAACCUUAGUAGGAAGAGCUAUAACUCAAUGGUAGAACACAUGCCUUGCAUGCAGGAGGUCCUAUAUUCAAUCCUGAGGAUUUCCAGGAAAACCUGGAGAGUUCUACCAAUCAUUGUCAAUAAGAUUGAGCUAAAAGGAUCAACUGUCAGACUCAGUAUAAGGCAUCUCCCUGUGUUGCUAAAUAAGGUCAACUGAAAAUCCUGAGAAUUUGCAGCUAUUAAUGUUUGGAAAAUUAGUUGUUAUACUAGAAAAGUUAUGUUUGCUUUUAAAUGUGCAUUACACUUUAGCUUUCUAUAAUUUUGGGUAUUUUCUUUUUAAUAAUUUGAUUGUAAAUUACUUUGUGACUUUGAGCUUUUACAAGUGGAAGGUGAUUUCAAAAGAUAUUAUUCCAAAACCAAUAAGGAAAAAAAAAAUACUAUCAAGGUCAAUAGGGAAUGUGGCCACAUUCACAGACAGUACAAACAGAGGCUGGUACUAGAAAGACUGGGAUACCUAAGAAACAGUCACUAUUUUAAAGAAUAAAAUACAACAUUUUGUAAUAAUCACAUGGUUUAACAUGAAACAAAAUCAAAUGUAGACGAUUUCAUGUUCCCUUUAGUAUUUAAAGUAUGUAUAAGAUGUCUAACAGUUUAAUGAACUGUAUUAAAGUAGCCUAGAUCUAGAUGAAACAUAGAAACUUAGAAACAGAGUGAGUCCGAAGGGGCCUCCUGGGCCAUCUAGUCCGACUCCCAGCUCCAGCCAGCUCUGCUCAUGAAAUAACAGCAAAUAAUGUGGACACCUGCUCCAAAUUAUCCAACAUGACAGAAGCGCCAACUGCUCACCUCCAACUGUGGCAAAAAUGUGAUCUGAGUUGAGGCUCCUCCCAAGUCCAGAGUCCCCACUGUCUGAUGAUUCCGGCCAUACAACUGCCCUGCAAGCAAGAUUGCAGAAGUUAGUUAGUUAGUUAGUUAGUUAGUUAG
Molecule: RNA transcript, 7349 nt
Organism: Varanus komodoensis (Komodo dragon)
Lineage: Eukaryota; Metazoa; Chordata; Lepidosauria; Squamata; Varanidae
Gene: COQ6
Gene name: coenzyme Q6, monooxygenase
Exons: 13
Source: RefSeq, a predicted model, not a curated record